AAUGAACGCUGGCGGCGUGCCUAACACAUGCAAGUCGAACGAGAAAGGUCGCAAGACUGAGUACAGUGGCGCACGGGUGAGUAAUACACGGGAAUCUACCCCUUUGUGGAGAAUACCCUGGAGAAAUCCAGGUUAAUACUGCAUAAGCCCAGAGAUGGGGAAUGGUGGCCUCAAGCUACCGCUGAGGGAUGAGCCUGUGUCCUAUUAGCUAGUUGGUAGGGUAAAAGCCUACCAAGGCAAAGAUGGGUAGCCGACCUGAGAGGGUGACCGGCCACACUGGAACUGAAACACGGUCCAGACUCCUACGGGAGGCAG
Molecule: ribosomal RNA, 315 nt
Filed under: uncultured bacterium
Lineage: Bacteria
Description: bacterial SSU rRNA
Rfam family: Bacterial small subunit ribosomal RNA
Source: RNAcentral